This 1042-nucleotide long non-coding RNA is filed under the name Fukomys damarensis (Damara mole-rat). RNAcentral's name for it is "lncRNA (ENSFDAG00000030320.1)". Lineage: Eukaryota; Metazoa; Chordata; Mammalia; Rodentia; Bathyergidae. The record is from RNAcentral.
CUCCAGUGACAGGUUUGGUAGAUGCAGUUAGGGAGUACUGCAAAGAUAAGUAAAAUCUUGGUCCUGAUUUACCCAAAACUUAGACGAGGAAACCAUGGAGGGCACGACUAGUGGGACAACCUGGCCACUUCCGAGAAUCCUUUAACACAGCCUUUCCGUUCCUCUUCCCUUCUUAGUGAGGCGUCCCUCCAUCUGUGACAGCCAUCCCUAUGCCGGUUGACAUACCAUCUUAGCAUCCAUGGCCCUUGCGUUGGGAUUCCACAUGGCGAACUCAGAUGACUGAAGUGGGUCAGGUCCUUCUGGCACGUAGGUGGUAGCUUUGAAGGAUCAGGAGCUUCGAUGGCCCCGAGUAACAGGCGGUCCUUGCUGAGGCCAAUCCAGCUGCACCCUGGACAGUUCAGGAGCAGAGCACUCAGUGGCCUGCUGAAUGUCCACUUAGUUCAGAGGUACCGCUCCAGACGCGCUAGCCUGAAACAGGAGUCACGCGGACGUCAUCUCUGCUGAAUGUUCCCAUGGCAGUGACACCGAUUUUCACGACAUUCCGAGAGAACCCUGAAGUCGAGUCCUGCAGAUGGCUUGGGAUGUUUCUUGACAGCGAAAUACUACUCCAUGUGACAGAGUCUGUGGCGUUUGGAGGACCCCCGAGGUACGGCGCCUUCCGGAGAACAGCAUGUAGAUGCGAGGGGCAGGGAAACCUGAGAGCAGGGCAAGAAGACACAGCCACUCUGCCGCGGAGCACAACACAUGCAUUCAGAACCAUGCCUCAGAUCUGCAGGAAAUACUGACGGCCUUCUGGACUCAAGGCGAGUUUGAGAGGGGUGCAGAUUUUCCCCACAGAGACUCCCUCCCGUUCCAUUUCCAGCACCUGCCUGGCAGUCAGUUUGCCCGUCCUGGAGAUGAAGUCCCAGGCGCCCUGGCAUAGCCGGCCAACAGCCACGGUGUUCACUGUGGCCGUGGUCUUUUCUGUGAGCAGAGGGACUGGGCGAGGGAAAGGGAGAGAAGAGCCACAGGCACAGGCAGGUGGAUUUCAUGUCACUUCCCA